UACGUAGGUGGCAAGCGUUGUCCGGAAUUAUUGGGCGUAAAGCGCGCGCAGGCGGUCCUUUAAGUCUGAUGUGAAAGCCCACGGCUUAACCGUGGAAGGUCAUUGGAAACUGGGAGACUUGAGUGCAGAAGAGAAGAGCGGAAUUCCACGUGUAGCGGUGAAAUGCGCAGAUAUUAGGAGGAACACCGGUGGCGAAGGCGCCGCUCUGGGCCGAAACUGACGCUGAGGAGCGAAAGCAUGGGUAGCAAACAGG
This 253-nucleotide ribosomal RNA is filed under the name uncultured bacterium. Its description in RNAcentral is "partial 16S ribosomal RNA". It matches the Rfam family "Bacterial small subunit ribosomal RNA", at positions 524 to 776 of the family's 1533-position model. The record is from RNAcentral.